CCUACGGGUGGCAGCAGUGCGGAAUAUUGGUCAAUGGGCGCGAGCCUGAACCAGCGACGUCGCGUGAAGGAUGACUGCCCUACGGGUUGUAAACUUCUUUUAUAAAGGAAUACAGUGAGGCACGUGUGCCUUUUUGUAUGUACUUUAUGAAUAAGGAUCGGCUAACUCCGUGCCAGCAGCCGCGGUAAUACGGAGGAUCCGAGCGUUAUCCAGAUUUAUUGGGUUUAAAGGGAGCGUAGAUGGGUUGUUAAGUCAGUUGUGAAAGUUUGCGGCUCAACCGUAAAAUUGCAAUUGAUACUGGCAGCCUUGAGUACAGUUGAGGUAGGCGGAAUUCGUGGUGUAGCGGUGAAAUGCGUAGAUAUCACGAAGAACUCCGAUUGCGAAGGCAGCUUACUAAACGGCCACUGACAUUGAUGCUCGAAAGUGUGGGUAGCAAACAGGAUUAGAUACCCCGGUAGUC
RNAcentral lists this ribosomal RNA (460 nucleotides) under uncultured bacterium. RNAcentral describes it as "partial 16S ribosomal RNA". It matches the Rfam family "Bacterial small subunit ribosomal RNA", at positions 338 to 795 of the family's 1533-position model. The record is from RNAcentral.